RNAcentral lists this ribosomal RNA (820 nucleotides) under Achromobacter xylosoxidans. RNAcentral's name for it is "bacterial SSU rRNA". It matches the Rfam family "Bacterial small subunit ribosomal RNA", at positions 638 to 1459 of the family's 1533-position model. The record is from RNAcentral. Lineage: Bacteria; Pseudomonadati; Pseudomonadota; Betaproteobacteria; Burkholderiales; Alcaligenaceae.
GGGCUAGAGUGUGUCAGAGGGGAGGUGGGAAUUCCGCGUGUAGCAUUGAAAUGUGUAGAUAUGCGGAGGAACACCGAUGGGGAAGGGCAGCCUCCUGGGAUAACACUGACGUUCAUGCACGAAAAGCGUGGGGAGCAAACAGGAUUAGAUAUCCUGGUAGUUCACGCCCUAAACGAUGUCAACUAGCUGUUGGGGCCUUCGGGCCUUGGUAGCGCAGCUAACGCGUGAAGUUGACCGCCUGGGGAGUACGGUCGCAAGAUUAAAACUCAAAGGAAUUGACGGGGACCCGCACAAGCGGUGGAUGAUGUGGAUUAAUUCGAUGCAACGCGAAAAACCUUACCUACCCUUGACAUGUCUGGAAUGCCGAAGAGAUUUGGCAGUGCUCGCAAGAGAACCGGAACACAGGUGCUGCAUGGCUGUCGUCAGCUCGUGUCGUGAGAUGUUGGGUUAAGUCCCGCAACGAGCGCAACCCUUGUCAUUAGUUGCUACGAAAGGGCACUCUAAUGAGACUGCCGGUGACAAACCGGAGGAAGGUGGGGAUGACGUCAAGUCCUCAUGGCCCUUAUGGGUAGGGCUUCACACGUCAUACAAUGGUCGGGACAGAGGGUCGCCAACCCGCGAGGGGGAGCUAAUCCCAGAAACCCGAUCGUAGUCCGGAUCGCAGUCUGCAACUCGACUGCGUGAAGUCGGAAUCGCUAGUAAUCGCGGAUCAGCAUGUCGCGGUGAAUACGUUCCCGGGUCUUGUACACACCGCCCGUCACACCAUGGGAGUGGGUUUUACCAGAAGUAGUUAGCCUAACCGCAAGGAGGGCGAUACCCA